RNAcentral lists this unclassified non-coding RNA (520 nucleotides) under uncultured Glomus. RNAcentral describes it as "SSU rRNA". It matches the Rfam family "Eukaryotic small subunit ribosomal RNA", at positions 569 to 1091 of the family's 1831-position model. RNAcentral also lists the same sequence under 1 other name. The record is from RNAcentral. Lineage: Eukaryota; Fungi; Glomeromycota; Glomeromycetes; Glomerales; Glomeraceae.
AGCAGCCGCGGUAAUUCCAGCUCCAAUAGCGUAUAUUAAAGUUGUUGCAGUUAAAAAGCUCGUAGUUGAAUUUCGGGAUCAAUAUGUUGGUCGUGCCUCGGUACGUACUAGCUUAUUGGUUUCUCCUUUCUGAAGAACCAUGAUGUCAUUUAUUUGGUGUCGUGGGGAAUCAGGACUGUUACUUUGAAAAAAUUAGAGUGUUUAAAGCAGGCUCACGCUUGAAUACAUUAGCAUGGAAUAAUGAAAUAGGACGUUUGAUUCUAUUUUGUUGGUUUCUAGGAUCGACGUAAUGAUUAAUAGGGAUAGUUGGGGGCAUUAGUAUUCAAUUGUCAGAGGUGAAAUUCUUGGAUUUAUUGAAGACUAACUACUGCGAAAGCAUUUGCCAAGGAUGUUUUCAUUAAUCAAGAACGAAAGUUAGGGGAUCGAAGACGAUCAGAUACCGUCGUAGUCUUAACCAUAAACUAUGCCGACUAGGGAUCGGAUGAUGUUGAUUUUUUUAAUGACUCAUUCGGCGCCUUAC